This 3375-nucleotide long non-coding RNA is filed under the name Sus scrofa (pig). Its description in RNAcentral is "lncRNA (ENSSSCG00000061967.1)". The record is from RNAcentral. Lineage: Eukaryota; Metazoa; Chordata; Mammalia; Artiodactyla; Suidae.
UGCAAUCAAGCUAGGGAGAAGCACAAGGAAGGGCUCUAAACUAUUCAAUUUUAAAAUAGUCAUUUCUUUUUUUUGCUUUUUAGGGCUGUACCUGCGGCAUAUGGAAGUUCCUAGGCUAGGGGUCAAUCGGAGCUACAGCUGCCGGCCUACACGACAGCCACCACAACUCCGGAUCCAAACCGUGUCCGUGACCUACACCACAGCUCAUGGCAGCGCCCGAUCCUUAACCCACUGAGUGAGGCCAGGGAUCGAACCCGAGUCCUCAUGGAUCCUAGUCGGGUUCAUUAACCUCUGCACCAUGAAGGGAACUCCCUAGUCAUUUCUCAAAGAAGUGUAGGAAUAUAACUUUUCUCUUAGGCGUAUGAGGUGCCUGCAUCACCAGGACUAUGGGUCCUUCUAUUUAUUAUCUGAGGCAAGUUUUCUCCUUUUCACACAAUUCCUGUGAGUCUCUUGUCACCAGAGCUGUGGAGCAAAAGGGACUUCGGACAGGUCACACCAAUCAUCCCACUCAGCCACAUUUCCCCCCACAAAACCCCAAAGCCCAACUCAGAUUACUUUAAAAUUCCAAUGACCCAACGGACAGUGCGUUGCCUGGUCGCCUGCAGUAAAUAAUGAUGUCAUAGCCUGACUGAGGUUGUCUUUCUUGCAAAGGAGCAAUAGGAAAAAUGAAACAACUCAGGAGAAAAGAUGCUUAUUGAAAUGCAAAUGAAUCCUUUGUGUCCGUACUUUAGCUCUUUUGAAGAAGAAAAUCUGUUAGAAGAUAGCCCCAUUGCUGGCCUCCCUACCCCCCUUGCUUAUCGCUUCAAUGUUAUAGGGCACGAAUACUACGGAAAAUAUGUAAGAAUUUUGGAGAGGAAAUACUUGUCUUAAAAAGGCAUACGUUCUUUAAAACUGGCAAAUGGAAUAGUAAAAGUUCCCAGAAGAGUAAAUCCAGGUUGGCUCAGAAACAUUCUAUUUCCCAGUGGGUUGGUGGACAGCCGUGUACAGGUGGAGCCCGCCCCCCGCCCGGGUUCCACAGGGAGCUGGUGGCAGGGAUGUGAGUUGUGGUCCCGAGGCCUGUGCUGUCACUCUACGUGGAUCACCUCUCAGCUACCCAGGCUGCUGCUGGCCUUCUCCAAAAACAAGGCCAUCCCUCGUCUGCACCCGGUAAACAGCAGUUGUUGUGAGAAUUGAAGUUGGCACAGCCUUUUGAGUUCCCCAGAUAAGAAAGUCCUCUUGAAAUGUAAAAUAGGAGAGAACGUUUUAACCACCACAAGGCUCCAUCAGCUGCAGUGCGGAGCGGGGCGAGCAGAGGACAUAGAUGUGUUUCAACUUCUCACUUGCGUUGAGACCUUUGCACAGUGGGUUUCCGACACUUAACGUAACCCUUAUAAAUGCAAAUUUUUGAAACGUUGGACCAGAGAUUUAUUAAAAAUUAUCUUCUUGGUUUAUAUCUGACCCCUAAUGCAUUCUUCUAUUAAUCCUGGAUCUUAGGGGAAAAUAUCUAGAUAUUGAUCCCUGUGGAGUCCCUUCUUUUGGCAAAGUAACGCCAGGGGUUUCCUAUAAACCUACCCAACCGUCUCCUAGACCUGAAGUUGAAUGUCACUAUUUGCCUUUAUGUCUUUGUGUCACCUCUGAAAAUUCUAAAGUGCAUCAGUUGUAAGUGGCAAUUUCUCAGUCUCCCUUUGCAUUUUGAACCUUUGACGCAGUGGUGAUUUAAUGGGUAAACUGAUAUAGUCCAUAGUCAGAAAUAAUCUCUCUCCCCUGCCUUCCAAAAGGUCGUGGCGUGGACAUUGUUUUCGCCCAGAGGUAAAAAGGCAGGCUUGUGGACCUCCUUCAGGGCCCCUGCUCUCCCCCCGCCCCCCCAUCCCCGAGUCCAGGUUUGGCUUUGUUUUCUACCAGGUGACAAAAGAGGUUUACCUCGGGCUGCAAACGAGAUGGUGCAGUUUAGGCUUUCUUUACAAAAAUCACGUCUCCUCUCUACUACCCCAUGAUAAAUAGAAUCUGUACUGCCUGACACUUGUGAACAAUGGGUGAAAUGGAUAUUAGAAAAAUCUCAUUUAUCUUCUGCUUUAUUUCUUGAUAGGGGUCCUUGUCACUAGGGCUAUUGUGUGACCAGCCCUGAAAAGGGCAUCUCAUUAGUUUUUCUUAUCAAGAUAGCAAGGUCCUUUUAAACAGCAAAGCACUUACAUUUUAGAUUCAAUUAGGAAACAGCAUGGUGGGUGGGUGUGUGUGUGUGUGCAUGCACACACUUCAGAGCUUCUGCUUUGAGACACAGCAGUGGCAGCUUUAUUCUCAGGGAUUCAGUGUUCACCGGGGUUGAAGCCAACAGCCCUGCACGGUGAUCCAGGCGCUGAAACUCUGCACCCACCUCCACAAAGGUGGGGUCAUCAGCUCCUCUUUACCUGGUCCUAUAUUUUUGCAUGAGGCAGGAUCCAUCUGAGCGAGGCAGGGCAAGUGGGAAGCCAUCUGGGUGUGGAGGGAUGUUCACAGAUUUCUUUUCUGAGGCAGUUUAUUUCGAAAGUCCAACAACAGCCCUUUUUCAGCUCCAGGAGCUUCAGAAGGGCACUUGGUUGCCCAGCCCCCUCUCACGCAGCGGGCUCUUGUGACAAGUGCAUUUUGGAAAGUCUCACUGUUACCACCAGGACAACUGGGAGAAUGUCAACCAAUCAGCCAUGAUUUCGAAUCUGUCAGAUGGAAUUCAACUUUUUCACAUCAUUUCAAAGAUCCUCGUGACAGGCAGAUGAAGUGGCACAACUGUGCAGCAGGGCAGUGUUUGGUAAAUUUAACCAGCAUACUAAGGGAGCACUCCCCCCUCUCCCCCCAUAGCUGAGGAAACAGACCCAAAUGGAAAAAAACAAAAAAAAAUCCCUCUGGGCUUGCGAAGGAUCUCCUGUGGAUAUUGACCUCUUUUGAAAGCAAGGUGACUCUUCCAGGGCAGUGGGAUGUCAUGUGGCUUGCUGGUGACAUGGACUGGGAUGUCACUGGCUGGCAAAGUUGAAUCUCCUCUUGUUGAAUGGAUGUUUCAGGGAGAGAGAAGGUCAUUUACUUGCCUUGGAGGAGAAGGUCACCCCUCGUGAUCCACACUCAUCACAAUUGUGAUGAAAUGACCUGCUUAUAUGAUAUCACUCAUAUGUGGAGUCCAAAAAAUAGGACAGAUGAACUAAGUUACAAAACAGAAAAAGACCCACAGAUUUAGAAAACAAAUUUAUGGGAGUUCCGGUCGUGGCGCAGUGGAAACAAAUCUGACUAGGAACCAUGCGGUUACAUGUUCGAUUCCUGGCCUUGCUCAGUGGGUUAAGGAUCUGGCGUUGCCGUGAGCUGUGGUGUGGGCUGACAGCUGUAGCCCCAAUUAGACCCCUAGCCUGGGAACCUCCAUAUGCCACAAGUGCAGCC